GACGAACGCUGGCGGCGUGCUUAACACAUGCAAGUCGAACGGAAAGGCCCUGCUUUUGUGGGGUGCUCGAGUGGCGAACGGGUGAGUAACACGUGAGUAACCUGCCCUUGACUUUGGGAUAACUUCAGGAAACUGGGGCUAAUACCGGAUAGGAGCUCCUGCUGCAUGGUGGGGGUUGGAAAGUUUCGGCGGUUGGGGAUGGACUCGCGGCUUAUCAGCUUGUUGGUGGGGUAGUGGCUUACCAAGGCUUUGACGGGUAGCCGGCCUGAGAGGGUGACCGGCCACAUUGGGACUGCGAUACGGACCAGACGCCUACGGGAGGCAGCAGUGGGGAAUAUUGCACAAUGGGCGGAAGCCUGAUGCAGCAACGCCGCGUGCGGGAUGACGGCCUUCGGGGUGUAAACCGCUUUCGCCUGUGACGAAGCGUGAGUGACGGUAAUGGGUAAAGAAGCACCGGCUAACUACGUG
RNAcentral lists this ribosomal RNA (468 nucleotides) under uncultured bacterium. Its description in RNAcentral is "partial 16S ribosomal RNA". It matches the Rfam family "Bacterial small subunit ribosomal RNA", at positions 28 to 507 of the family's 1533-position model. The record is from RNAcentral.